This 497-nucleotide ribosomal RNA is filed under the name uncultured bacterium. Its description in RNAcentral is "partial 16S ribosomal RNA". It matches the Rfam family "Bacterial small subunit ribosomal RNA", at positions 28 to 507 of the family's 1533-position model. The record is from RNAcentral.
GAUGAACGCUGGCGGCGUGCCUAAUACAUGCAAGUCGAGCGAACAGAUAAGGAGCUUGCUCCUUUGACGUUAGCGGCGGACGGGUGAGUAACACGUGGGUAACCUACCUAUAGGACUGGAAUAACUCCGGGAAACCGGGGCUAAUGCAGGAUAACAUGUUGAACCGCAUGGUUCUACAGUGAAAGGCGGCUUUGCUGUCACUUAUAGAUGGACCCGCGCCGUAUUAGCUAGUUGGUGAGGUAACGGCUCACCAAGGCAACGAUACGUAGCCGACCUGAGAGGGUGAUCGGCCACACUGGAACUGAGACACGGUCCAGACUCCUACGGGAGGCAGCAGUAGGGAAUCUUCCGCAAUGGGCGAAAGCCUGACGGAGCAACGCCGCGUGAGUGAUGAAGGUCUUCGGAUCGUAAAACUCUGUUAUUAGGGAAGAACAAAUGCGUAAGUAACUGUGCGCGUCUUGACGGUACCUAAUCAGAAAGCCACGGCUAACUACGUG